GCCUCUACGCCCCAUCUCAGAGCUCCCAGGACCGUCUCUCAUCACCCUGCCCUGAGCCACCACCUGCCGGCCACAGGGAAUCGCCUACAGAAGCGGCCAACAUUCAAUCGCCAUGAAAAUAACACCACCACUCCUCAUCUCAGAUAUCCACCCCAAUUCCCUCAAAACUCACCAAAACUUGUAGAAUUGGUGUUCAAAACCAUGAACCCUAGUGUCGCCAUAGUUUCUCCGGUGGCGGUGCCACCACUAAACUUUCCCAAAAAUACACCCUGGAACCCUUAUUGCUUCCUCUUCCCAAAUCCCUAACCCCAUGCCCUUUGAAUCCCCCUAGGUCGACUCGAAUAUUGAAUUGAAAAUCAAACCUAAACCUAACCUUCCCCAAGCAAUUUAAAACUUAAAUCCCUGUAUCUACAACCUUUGCUCAUGUCAAUUUCAUGACCAAACUCCGAUUUUACCGGAAGUAGAGGCUAAUUGGUUGAGCUUAUCAAGGAGCAACUGAUUAUCCUUAAGUUUUAUUUAUCUCGAGAUGAUUUUAGCUUUUUGUUUCUAUCUAAUGAGGUUCACCCUAGAUUCUGUUCUCAGGUACCUUUGUGCUUUGUUCUUUUUCUCUUUUGCUUCUUUGUUAAGUUCAUGAUUGGGUUGUUGGUCUAGAUUUGUUUAAAUCAUGUCUAGUUAAUUGCAAAAGUUUUAUGGAUUUUGUCUCUAUUUAAGUAGUGGCUUAGUAAUCCUGUGAAGACUUGUUGUGUUUGGUUCAAUAUGUUUUCAAUUGUCAAAAUUUUUUGAAUUUCUUUUUAAGAAUUUUACCUUUUGAUCCGAUUGAAGCCUUUGCAUUUGAAUAGUCAUGUUUGUCACGCUUCAUGAAUCUAUAGAGGGGUCAAUUGUAAGUUUAGAAACUUAAAAGGGUUUCAAAGGAGAGGGCAUGGGUUGUAAUAACUGGUUGAGCGAAGGUUAGUUUAGGGAUUUCAUGAUGUGAGUGAAUCAUUUCUGUUAGGAGAAAGCCUUUAGACGAUAAGAUGCACACUAGUUUGUUAAAGAGCAGGGUUUUUCAGAUAUUUUAGAGGGGUAAAAAGGGUAAAACAAUAAAAAAGGGGUAAAAGAGGAACUGGUUAAUCAUGCCAAGGUUACGUUAGGCAUGCCUAUAUAAAGACCCUUUACCCUUCAUUCCAGAGAGCCCGGAACACUCUAAUUGAUAUACAGAAAUAUAAACUUCACUGUUUCAUUAGAUCCUCAGUGAUUCUGAAUUCUUUUCAAAUUCCUGAAAUAACUUUGUCACAUUUGAGCAUAAAAAUGGUUUGAAGUUGGUUUGCAAAAUCAUCUUAAAGUCUGCUGGGCUCUUUAAACUCGAUUGUUACACAUCUUUGCUAGAUUGAAACUGAUCUUAUUCCUUGUUUUUGCUGGCUAAUUACUGCUGAACCUACACUUCAAUUGCUGAGUUUUUGUAAUUUUUUUGGCUAUAUCCAGGUACACAUUCCUAAAACUCACACAAUGUGAUACUUGAUUGGAGACUGAGAAAUGAAAGUUGGAGUUCUAAAUGUCUGUAUGUUGGACCAUUAGCUUAUAGUUACUUCAUUUUACCUUCCUGUAUUUUUCUCUUAUAAAUAACAUGUGCUUAGUUGAG
RNAcentral lists this long non-coding RNA (1618 nucleotides) under Nicotiana benthamiana. RNAcentral describes it as "long non-coding RNA (NBEN_LNC040556)". Lineage: Eukaryota; Viridiplantae; Streptophyta; Magnoliopsida; Solanales; Solanaceae. The record is from RNAcentral.